AACACCUUGUUCCUCCACAGACACAUUAUCCUUCUAAAGUUAUUUAGACCUGAGAUCUCCAGGAAAGCUGUCUAAAAAAAGCCAGGACAACCUUAGGAGAUGAGGCCAUCGACUCCACAGCAGCAAAAGAGAUGGUCCGAGACGCCCUGACUAGUAGACCUGGUGAGCAAGAUGUAUUAGAAGAGGACCAGACAACCAAAACAUUGGACCACAGAACCAGGAGCGAGAUUGCCAUCUUAGUCAGCCACAAUCCUGCAAUGGACUUUUUGCUGAUGUUCAAUGAUGAAACAUCCUCUAAACUCCUUGAAAAGUGGGACACUGUAUUGAAGCCUAAAGUCAUCAAACUGGUCAAAUCCCUGACUAUGACCAUGAUGCGUUGCCUCUUGAAGUCUGCAGAGAACUGCCAGAGAAUGACAGUGAAACCAAUUUGGACAAUGAUAUGUCCUCCCUGCUGCUGCUGCUUCAUCUCCCACCAGCAGCAGGAGGGAAGAGCACCAAGAUCAGUGCCAGUGAUGCUGUGGGCAGACUAGUGCACAUUCAUAAGUCAUGCUGCAGCACUGUAGACCAUCUGGAUGGGAGCCAUGGUUGACAGACAUACCUCCUUGCUAACGAAAGAAGACAGAGCAAUAUUGACAACUGCUACAACGUGGUGGACAAGAGGCUUGUUCCCUGCCAGGACCUGAGCCCUAGGACCAUGCCUCAGGACUACCUGACAUGAUGACUCCUUGCUGUCCCCAGUCCACCUGGCCGUGCUGCUGCUCCAGUUUCAACUGUUCUGCCUGUGAUUAUUAUUAUUUGACCAUGCUGGUCAUUUAUGAACAUUUGAACAUCUUGGCCAUGUUCUGUUAUAAUCUCUACCCGGCACAGAAGAGGACUGGCCACCCCACAUAGCCUGGUUCCUCUAGGUUUUGGCCUUUCUAGGGAGUUUUUCCUAGCCACCGUGCUUCUACACCUGCAUUGCUUGCUGUUUGGGGUUUUAGGCUGGGUGUCUGUACAGCACUUUGAGAUAUCAGCUGAUGUACGAAGGGCUUUAUAAAUACAUUUGAUUUGAUUAAAGUCAACCUAGAGAACGGUGGAAACAGAAUAGCACUUAAUUAUAUUCAAACACCCUCUUGUGAGAAACGUUCCACCAGUAAAUGAGAACUGGAAUUUUCCGCUCAUUUUACUGCAAGUAACCAAUUGAACGUCACACACUUUUCAAACCGUUGUACUGACGACUUGAUACCCAAACAUCACUUUGAUACAUUACUCAGCAUGCAUAAGACAAGUCGGUCCUUUAUUACAAAUGUGGAGCAGGAGGAACACCUUCAAGAACAUUAAGUCCCUUGCCAAAAAACAUCAAUUUGCUAUAGGCCAUCACUGGGAGACCUCAUGAUUGGACCGACAAAAGCAUUUUCCCUGUGGGAUUUUACUGGUCAGUGCAGAAAGCCAUUUCCUCUACCAGCUGGGUUAAGAUGGAUGGCACAGUGCAGAGGGGGACUGUUAGUUUGCAGUAAGAUGGAGCAUGAAAUGCCAGUCUUGUAAGAUAACUAAGAUCAUUGUGGUUGACAUCAUUGUAUACCUAUUCCUGGACAAGUUGCAUACUGAUCAUUUCUGUGAACAUUACCAUGCAUUCACUGUGUUUUGAAGGUGUUGAUGACAAAGUUUAUCUGCAAUGUUAUAAGCCUCGUGUCUUUCAAAGUGCUUAUGGUCCUGAUGAGAGCCUUUGUUUGGUAUGAUUGAUUAAUAGUCAGAUUAUUGGAAACUUUGUCAAGAAAAUUGCAUACCUAGUCUUAGGACUUCCAGUUGUGUUUAAAUAGCGACUCUACAAAUACUCUUCUUCUCAUAUAGUACAUGUUCUGAUGCACUGAUUUCAUUUUAAUGUGCCUGUGAUGCACUGAUUUCACAUUUGGCCUAAAUAAAUUAAACAAAGUCACA
Oncorhynchus keta (chum salmon) is the source of this 1917-nucleotide long non-coding RNA. RefSeq lists it as uncharacterized. The record is from RefSeq and is a predicted model, not a curated record. Lineage: Eukaryota; Metazoa; Chordata; Actinopteri; Salmoniformes; Salmonidae. The transcript is spliced from 6 exons.